RNAcentral lists this unclassified non-coding RNA (346 nucleotides) under soil metagenome. RNAcentral describes it as "partial contains 5.8S ribosomal RNA, internal transcribed spacer 2, and large subunit ribosomal RNA". The stretch from base 1 to 120 matches the Rfam family "5.8S ribosomal RNA", at positions 35 to 154 of the family's 154-position model. The record is from RNAcentral.
GAUGAAGAACGCAGCGAAACGCGAUAGUUAAUGCGAAUUGCAGAAUUCCGUGAGUCAUCGAAUCUUUGAACGCACAUUGCGCCCUUUGGUAUUCCGAAGGGCAUGCCUGUUCGAGCGUCAUUAUCAACCCUCAAGCCCGGCUUGCCGUUGGGUCCCGUAGGGGUGCGAAUCUCAACGGACCUCAAAGAUAGUGGCAGAGCCCGUACGGACCCUGGAUGCAGCGAGCUUUCUGGCACGCAUCACAGCAAUCCGCCGGCUCGGUCUUAACCGUCAAUUUUUUUUCACUGGUUGACCUCGGAUCAGGUAGGGAUACCCGCUGAACUUAAGCAUAUCAAUAAGCGGAGGA